RNAcentral lists this unclassified non-coding RNA (325 nucleotides) under uncultured soil eukaryote. Its description in RNAcentral is "sequence contains 5.8S rRNA gene, ITS2, 28S rRNA gene". The record is from RNAcentral.
AACGCAUAUUGCGCUCGAGGCUUCGGCCAAGAGCAUGUCUGCCUCAGCGUCGCUUUCACCCCUCACACCCUCAUCUUCCUCUUUGGAUAGGAGUGCGUGUGGACCUGGCCUUCUCAGCCGUUUUCAUAUCGGCUGGGUCGGCUGAAGCGCAGAGGUUGAUGCAUGGACCCGCUUUCGGGCCUCAGCUGGGUAGUGCAACUCGUUUGCUCAAUGCUUUAGCUGUUGGCUUGGGACCGUGCUCGUCGACCCGAACCAGGAAAGCUUGGUUAGCAAGCUCUAAUCAAACCUUCGACUGAGCUCAGGCAAGAACACCCGCUGAACUUAA